This is a long non-coding RNA of Gallus gallus (chicken), 606 nucleotides long. NCBI's taxonomy places the organism in Eukaryota, Metazoa, Chordata, Aves, Galliformes, Phasianidae. The record is from Ensembl.
AAGGAUUAGAGCUAUGGCAGCCUAUAGAAGCUGGAACCGAGGGAAUUGUGCAGAAUAAGCACCUGCUCAUCAGCCAGGCGACCGAGAAGAAUGAAGGACUGAAAGAAGUCUCAGAUUGGCUUCCUGAGCAAAAUCUGCUUCUGUUCAGCUAUGGCCAAGGACAGAGCUCUGCACCAGCUGAACCACGGGCCUGAUCCAGUACUACAGUUGCUUUUCCACUCCCAUGGCAAUAAUUUCCCCAUGAUAUUGAGCACAGUCCUCAUGGUGUAUUGACACCACUAUAGGAAUAUGUGGAUGGAGGUUUCCUAUGUUGUACCAGCCACAGAAGCAGAACAAAUACACGAAAACCAACAGAAGCUUUAGUUUUACUACUUAGGAUGUGUAUGGGAGCUGUUGAAUCACAGCCUGAACCACUGAUUGAUCACCUGAGGCAAGCACUGAGUCAGCCAUGGGAGCACAGGUGAAGGCAAUUCACCUGUGUGACGAGAAGGGGUGGAGCCUGGCUGCACCUCUCCUAGACCCCAUUUAAGGGCUGACUGCCGCUGGUGAAGGAUAUCUUUUUGGAGCUUGCUCCCUUUGGAGUUUUUCUGUGAGCCUCUGAUAUGG